UUCCUUCCUCUAAACUAGGGUUCUGCAAACUCUGGCCUGCUGGUAGCCUGGCCAGUGGAUUCUUGUUGGACCCUGAGCUAAUAAUGGUUUUAUGUUUGUUUAGGGAAAUACAUUUCCUCCUCUUCUGGGAGCUCCCAACCUCAGAAGAUGAAUUCUGUGGAAUAUGAUUGUUAUCACCUCAUGGCGAGCAUAGCUGUCUCCCUGUUACAAGCUGGUUUCGUUGGACGCGAGGGCACCAGGAGCACACCGAGGGACAGACAUACCCCUGCCCCAGGGGAAUGAUCCCUGAGAGCAGAAGCCGGAGGAAAGUGGCACCUCUUCCCCUUUCCCAUACUACUUCCUCCCACCAAGGGGUGGAAGGGUCUGAGGUAGAGGAACCUGGGUAAUAAGAGUGCAUCUAGUGGGUAGAUGAGAACACAGGUCCAGCAACAGCCUAGGGUCCAAGCUCUGGCUCUGGAUAACUGGAUAAUUGGUGACCCAUCACUUCAGGAUUGCCCCCCAAGGCUUGACGUUUAUUCCAAUUUUUUGAGCCUCUCUAGGAAGCCAGAAGGCUCUGCCCAGGAAGGAUGGCUUAGUGAAGUUUUCUCCUUGGUCUUUGGCGACACCUGGUGGUCACUGGCCAUCAUAGUACUGACUUGCCUCAGGCAGAUCCUCAGAAGCCGUCUUUCAUAUCUUCUCAUUUCAUCCAGAGGGCUCAAAGAGCUGCAAAGCUCUGCGCAAUCACACCACAAUUUAUUCCUUUUUUUCAUUCAUUGUUUUUUUUUUUAAAGAGAGAGAGAGAGAGAGAGAGAGAGAGAGAGAAUAUGAGAAUUUCAAUAUUUGUUUUUUAGUUUUUUUGGCGGACACAACAUCUUUGUUUGUAUGUGGUGCUGAGGAUGGAACCCGGGCCUCACACAUGCCAGGUGAGCGCGCUACCGCUUGAGCCACAUCCCCAGCCCAUUCAUUAUUUUUUUAAACAUUUAUUUUUUAGUUGUUGUUGGACACAAUAUAUCUAGGGGUUCUCGAACAAUGAGCUACAUCCCCAGCUCUUUUUAUUUACUUAUAUUUUUAAUUUUUUUUCCUAUGGUGAUGGGGCGCCUUGUGCAUGAGAGGCAAGCACUCUAACAACUGAGGUAUAUCACCAGCCCAUUUAAAAUUCAAAAAAAUUUUUUUUUAGUUGUAGGUGGACACAAUACCUUUAUCAUAUUUAUUUUUUUAAUGUGGUGCUGGGGAUCGAACCCAGUGCCUCACACAUGCUAGGCAGGUGCGCCACUGCUGAGCUACAACCCCAGCCCUAUUUAAAUUUUUUUUUUAAAUAUUUAUUUUUUAGUUUUAGGUGGACACAAUAUCUUCAUUUUAUUUUUAUGAGGUGCUGAGAAUCGAACCCAGUGCCUCACGCAUGCUAGGCAUGCACUCUACCACUUGAGCCACAUCCCCAGCCCUUUUCAUUUUUUUAAAAUAUUUUUUUUAGUUGUAGAUGGACACAAUACCUUUAUUUUUUAUUUAUUUAUUUUUAUGUAGUGCUGAGGAUUGAACCCAGUGCCUCACACAGGCGAGGCAAGCGCUCUGCCACUGAGCCACAAUCCCAGCCCUAUUUUUUUAAUUUUUUAGAACAUUUUUUUUUAGUUGUCUAUAACCUUUAUAUAUUUAUUUACAUGAGGUGCUGAGAAUCGAACCCAGGGCCUCACACAUGCUAGGCAAGCAGCUCUACCUCUAAGCUACAACCCCUGCCAUAUAUAUGUAUAUAUAUAUACACACAUAUCUAUAUAUACACACUUACAUAUAUAUAC
Molecule: long non-coding RNA, 1769 nt
Filed under: Marmota monax (woodchuck)
Lineage: Eukaryota; Metazoa; Chordata; Mammalia; Rodentia; Sciuridae
Source: RNAcentral